CCUACGGGAGGCUGCAGUGAGGAAUAUUGGUCAAUGGCCGAGAGGCUGAACCAGCCAAGUCGCGUGAGGGAAGACGGCUCUACGGGUUGUAAACCUCUUUUGUCGGGGAGCAAAGAGAGUCACGUGUGACUCAUUGAGAGUACCCGAAGAAAAAGCAUCGGCUAACUCCGUGCCAGCAGCCGCGGUAAUACGGAGGAUGCGAGCGUUAUCCGGAUUUAUUGGGUUUAAAGGGUGCGCAGGCGGAGGUGACAGUCAGCGGUCAAAUUGCGGGGCUCAACCCCGUACUGCCGUUGAAACUGCAUGCCUUGAGUGCGCGAGAAGUAGGCGGAAUGCGUGGUGUAGCGGUGAAAUGCAUAGAUAUCACGCAGAACUCCGAUUGCGAAGGCAGCAUACCGGCGCGCAACUGACGCUCAUGCACGAAAGCGUGGGUAUCAAACAGGAUUAGAUACCCUAGUAGUC
RNAcentral lists this ribosomal RNA (459 nucleotides) under uncultured bacterium. RNAcentral's name for it is "partial 16S ribosomal RNA". It matches the Rfam family "Bacterial small subunit ribosomal RNA", at positions 338 to 795 of the family's 1533-position model. The record is from RNAcentral.